GACGAACGCUGGCGGCGUGCUUAACACAUGCAAGUCGAACGGAAAGGCCCUGCUUUGGUGGGGUGCUCGAGUGGCAAACGGGUGAGUAACACGGGAGUAACCUGCCCUGGACUUUGGGAUAACUUCAGAAAACUGGGACUAAUACCGGAUAGGAGCUCCUGCUGAAUGGUGGGGGUGGGAAAGUUUCGGCGGUUGGGGAUGGACUCGCGGCUUAUCAGCUUGUUGGUGGGGUACUGGCUUACCAAGGCUUUGACGGGUAGCCGGCCUGAGAGGGUGACCGGCCACAUUGGGACUGAGAUACGGCCCAGACUCCUACGGGAGGCAGCAGUGGGGAAUAUUGCACAAUGGGCGGAAGCCUGAUGCAGCAACGCCGCGUGCGGGAUGACGGCCUUCGGGUUGUAAACCGCUUUCGCCUGUGACGAAGCGUGAGUGACGGUAAUGGGUAAAGAAGCACCGGCUAACUACGUG
RNAcentral lists this ribosomal RNA (468 nucleotides) under uncultured bacterium. RNAcentral's name for it is "partial 16S ribosomal RNA". It matches the Rfam family "Bacterial small subunit ribosomal RNA", at positions 28 to 507 of the family's 1533-position model. The record is from RNAcentral.